GGAACUUGGUGUUUUUGGUAAUGUGGUGGUGGCGGUAAGAUCAGUGGUAGCGGUGGUGGCGGUGGCUGCAAUGUGGCUGUGGUGGCGGCGCUGACGUAACCCAGUCGGGGCGAUGGAGGGAGGCGGUGGUCGGUGGCCGCGGACGAGCGACCGACUGACUGCAUGAGCUCCGUCGGCACCACCGCCGCUGCUGCCGCCGCCACCACCGCCGCUCUCCUCCGAUGCCGCCUCCCUACCCCUGCCCUCGUGCUCCUCCUCCACCGUUUGUACGUUUAUGAAUCACGGGUAUAUGGAGUAAGCCGGUGACAUGCCAUGAUCAUAUAUAUUCGUACACAGACACUAUUCCCACCGAACACCUCCGACUGGUUCUGACUGGUGGCGGCACUCGCUGGCUGGUGUGCGGCCUCUCUCAUGGUGCCUCCCGAUUCUCGACACAGCGCCUCAGACGAAGGUGCAGCCAGCAAGGGAGAGGCAGGGGACGCCUGAUCCCCCACACCCACCCAGCCGGCGGUGGCGGGGAGAGCGUGAGGAACAAGAGAAGGCAAAGGAGAGACAUGAAAAGUGAGAGGAUGUGGGGUGUGAGGGAGGGAGGGAGGACGGCCAGACGGGCGCCAGACUCGGCCGGUACAGCCUGUGGACUCCAUUUUAAAAGGUGAAUAAUUGUGCAGGUUUUUGGGCGUGUGAGGUGAGCUGCGGCAGGUGGUGGCGCCCCCCUGGUGGCCGCGGCCACACCACCGCCACCUUGUAGGUCACAGUGACACCACAGGCCCCCUCCCCCUUGGCCGUCUACACUCCCGCCUUCCUCGCCCCACCCCCCUGCCGGGCGUGGGUGAAGAGUGUGGUCGAGGUGCGACAGACGGACGCAUGGCGGCCAGGCACACCCCGCCACACCCCACUAGCACCACAGCCACAGCUUGACCACGGGGGGCGGAGCGCCCAGGCACCCCCCUCCCGCCAGCCACGCGGCCGACCCACCAUUGGCUCACACUGUUUUAAUUACAGAACCAGUUUGUGUGGCGGUCAUGUGAGGCGGUGGCGGGUGGCGGGGCGGGGCCAAGCCGGCCCUGUCGGAUCUUGGGGCCACCCCGGCAAGGGUUGGGGCGGAGCUUCAACUGUGAAAGACCGUCUGGCUCCGCCUCCUUUUCUGGCUCCGCCCCGGGUCCGCCCCUCGUGGAGGAGCGCGAGCAGACGCAGCGCCGCGUCCCCCGCCCGCCUCAGUUCCGCCGCGUCUGUCUGGUGAGCAGCAUGUUGCGCUUGACCUCCCGCGCCCUCACGCCCACACUUAGUGCUCCUCCCACGCCCACGCACGCCCACACCUACUCCAGCAAUAGUGUGUGAUCGCUGGCUCGAGUUUUUACCGGCCAAGUUUUGUGUAGUUAAGAGUGAGAGGCUACCAGUGACCCAGCAGAGUGGAUAGUGCUGAGUGGGCCAACAGGCCGCCGCCCGCCGGCGUGCAAGGCAACACCCGCCCUUCUCCGCCGCCUCCGUCGCUUAUACGUGUCGGUAGUGUCACCCUGAGUGCGCCCUCUUCUUGGUCUCCGUCGGUCGGUCGGAGUCGGUCCGACGUGACCGCUCAAGGCGCCGCUGGCGUCGGACCAUCGCGGCGCGGAGGCGCGGGCCCUAGACCGUGGAGAACACCGAACGGCCGUCAGCACCGCCGCCGAUGCAGGCUGAGCGGCGGGCCGUCGCUCAACUUGUGGCCGCGGUCAGCGCGACGGCCGUCAGCGGUGGCGAGGGUCUGUUGCAAGCCGUAGCGACGGGUCGGAGCGCGGCGGACGUCUGGUGGGGCGGCGGGUCGGAGCGAGAGCGAGAACAGAGUGGCGGUACCGCGGCCCGCGUUGCUCAGCCACGCAGGUUGGUGCUCGGCCGACCACCGCUGCACUCCGCGCUCGUCAUCCCGCCCGCCGCGGCACCAGCGCCAACCCGCGACACCCGCCCGCCGUCACCGCCGCCGCCGCCGCCGCUGCUGGGCUGACGACAUUCGGACCCUCCGGCAGACAUGGAGGGAUACCCCGCCCCCCUGUAGUGCUAGUGUAGUGAUGUGCCAGUGUUCGGUGAUAGUGUAACCCAGUGGUUGUGCCGCGCCGUUGGGACUCCACCGCUCAGGGUAAGCUGCCGCCCUUGUGUUCUUUUGUGAUACAUCCGAGACCUGCGGCUUCGGGCCGCGGACUUUGGAUUGUAGGGAGUGAUGGUGGGGAGUGGGGGGGGGGGCGAUGACCAUUCCAGACGAUCGCCAAUAACGGAGAACAGAAAAUGGGGUCGGGCAUAGGGUGUACAACCCUACACAGAAAAUGGGAUGUGGCGGCAAUACACACACACACACACACACACACACACACACACACACAUGCGCAAAAAAAAAAAGGGUCUCAAUUAUCAUUCGCAAGGAGGGUUGACCUCUUCCCUCCCCCGCCUCCCCUCCUGCCCUGCUUGGCCUGCUUGGGGGGGGAGGAGCUUGGUGGAGGAGGAGGCUGCCGCGCUGGACUUACCGCCCAUCCGCGAGGCGCGGGUCGACGAUGGAAGUGGCGGACCGACACUUCUAGUGCUCUGAGUUGCCGAACCGACAGUCUGGUGCGCGUGUGAUGUGCUGCGGUCACGUUGUGCAGUGACGCGACGCAAGCCUUGAGAGAUGUUCAAAAAACGAAGCCGGAACCACGCUACCCCUCCAUCCUGCCUGCCUGCCUUCCUCUGCCAGUGAAGAGAACCCUACACGAAGAGAGAGAGAGAGAGAGAGAGAGAGAGAGAGAGAGAGAGAUGGAACGUGCUACAAAAUCCAACUUUGAAGAUUAUGAGUACUCUGUGUGUGUGUGUGUGUGUGUGUGUGUGUGUGUGUGUGUGUGUGUGUGUGUGUGUGUGUGUACGAGGGUUCCAUCUACAUCAACAACAACAACAACAACAAAUGAUGAUGAUCGCUUUAAUGGGUGUGAAGGGCAGGACCGGGCGACCCAGGCAGUGCUGUGGAUGGCAAAGGUGCGUUUGUGUCUACCUGUGCGUGUUACCUGCUUGAGGGUAUCGAACGGGCAGCCUCGAGGACUCCAGACAAGACAAGAACUAGCUCUCCAGGAAGGGAUCUCAGACACGCCCUUAUUAAACUCAGCAGGACACGGGGCUGCCUUCCUCACCACUACUGUGUUAACAAGAUAAGCCUGAUUUGUUUACUAUUACUGCUAGAGAGAGAGAGAGAGAGAGAGAGAGAGAGAGAGAGUUGUAAUUGAAGGAAAAACGUAUUGUGAAGGAGAAAAAAGAUAGAAGGAAUUAUGAACGAAGAGGCCAGGAGACAGAUAGAGAAUUACAUAAGAGGAAAGACGAAAGAUAAGAGAAUAAAUGGAGAGGAAAAGGAAGGAUGUUAAGAUAGAUGUAGAAUGAAAGACAAAAAGAAGUGAUAAAAAAGAUAGGCAGACGAGAGAGAGUUAGAUAGAGAGAGAAUAGGAAGAAACAAAAAAAAGGUCAUGGUAAAAAAUGAUAGGCAUAAUAAUUAUAAUGAGAACGUCACUUGAGGUGCAGACAGAAGAGCGUUAGAUAGUGAGGAAUGUAGAUAGAAACACAGAAAAAGGUCGUGGUAAAAAAUAAACAAUUCAUAAUGAGAACGCCACUUUAUAACGGAACAGACUAAAGGUACUCGACUUGAUUAAAAGGUAAAAGCAAUUUAGUCUCCCAUGGCAAGGUAUAAUGAUAAAUAAGGUAAUAGAUAAAAAGUCACACAGAUCAAGCAUGGAAGUGUAAUGUAUAAAGUGAAGUAGCGAGAAAGAAGGAUGAUAAAUUAAAGUUACACAGACCUGACCGCUGUAAUAUAUUCCUUUUUAUUUUUUCUUUAAUUAUGAUAUGGAACCGUAAUUAGUGGGGAGGAUUUAAGGUCAAUUAAUAGUUAGUCAGGCAGCUGGUGGUGGAGUGAACACUAAUUUACGUACUAGUGUUUUUCUUUUUGUUUAGUUUUUUUCCCAUGAUGGUUUUCAGGGAUCGGGGUUGAUGUGUCAAAUAAUUUCGUGCUGGUUUUGUUGUCUUUCUUUUUUCGUUAAUGUUUUUGUGCAGGUUUGACUUGGCUUUGUUUUAUUAUUUUCUUUUUUUGAAGCGAAUAAAGCACAGGGGUUGUUACAUGAAUAGGUUGAUGACUAGGUAUGUGUAUAGCUAGUGGAUGGAUGGAUCGCUAGAUUAAUAGAAUGCCAGAUAGACUGAUGAAUAAUUGAAUAUAGGCUAAGAUGGUUAGAUUGAUAGACGGAGAAGUAAGUAUGAAUGAUAUAGACUCUACCAAUAUAGCAUAGGUCUAUCAGUAAGUAUAGUUCAUGGUAGACGUGCAUAGUGUAUCAUAGCUUAUAAAUACAUGAGAAGUGGUUGUGUGUGUGUGUGUGUGUGUGUGUCAUAGGUGUAUGUAGGUGUGAUGAUUUCAUAUUGCAUUUUUCCCUCAUUUAAUGUUAAGUUGAAAUAUCACACUUGUGCUUGACUCGUUGUAAUGAAUGUAAGUGGUGGAAACACGGUAUUUAUUUACACGUUUUUACUCAUUAGUUUACGCAGUUUUAUCACGCUAAUAUGUCUUGUUUGAUACUGUCCUCAAGAAAAAUUUAAUAAAGUGAGUUACUAUUAAGAAUACUGAGUUGUAAGAAAAAAAACUCAGAAUUGUUAGUCUAUUUAUUGUGUAGACAUUUUCUUUUGUAUCAUUUUUUUUUUUUUUUCUAUUUACCCAUUUAUUCAUUUUUCCCAGUCAUUUUGUUAUCAUCAAAGAUCUAAGACUUUUUUCGUUAUUGAUAUUUAUUUUAUAUAUAUGUCAUCAGAUAAUUCCUUAUCAUUAUUUAUUCAUGCCCAAUGUUACCACCACCACCACAAUAUACACGGUCUCCUUUUCCUCCCACACAGAGCAGCGCAGCCCAGCUCAGCAUAGCUACACAGUCCCGUCCUCCAUUCCCUGAGACCCUUUCUUGUGAAGGCACAGGUUCACAGGCAAGGCGCUCAGGCAUGGAUGACGGGUUAGUACGUCCAGACGCUCCCGUGGAUGACAACCAGAAAGAGACAGGCAUAAGUUGUCUGGAAAUUUUAGACCACCACCACCACCACGUCAGCCUGUCCCCAAGUCCACCAGUUCAUCAUGCAAUGUCAACCAGCCCGUCUCAUGUCAAGAAAUGCCUAUACUUAAAAAAAAUCAAAUGUUAAAUUGUAUGGUUUUUGUAUAAUUAUUGUUAUUAUUAUUGUUGUUUCUUCAUUAAUUUAUUUAUAAGAGUUGUGAAUUCAUUUACCAUUAGAAUUAUUUGGCUUGUAUUCUUAUGGAACAUAUCAGUAUAAUAAAGUAGUGUAAGAAGAGGAGUCACUAGAUGUAAAGGAUGUGCUAGAGUAGGGAAUGGAGAAUACUACUAAUAAUAAUGAUGGUAAUGGUGAGUAAACAAAUGAUGCAUUAGCACACUGUUAAGUAUUACAUUUGUUACCAGUCACGUCUUGCUGAUGUACUAGUUCAAGAUACUGAAUAGCGACCGAAAAUAAUCCUGUGUGUGUCAUUGUUGUGAAGCGAAGUAACAAGUAGAGUUUGCUCGUAACUGAUCGUUUACUCGUUUUUUUUUUUUUUUUUUUUUUUUUUUUUGCCAGCCUUGUAUAUAAAUUAUUUAAUUCAUUUUCUUCGUUUUGUCUUUUUAUAUUUUAUUUAUUUAUUUAUUUUUUCUCACGUAGUCAUACAAACAUCCGUUAUAAUACAGUUUGUUACAGGCUUCCUUCGAAUGAAAUACGGUUUUGCCUCUUAUUUUUCGAUAUAUGAUGAAAAAGUAACUUUAAUUGAUAAAUGCUAAUAAACAAGAGAGCGAUGGUGGGGGUGAGGGUGACAGGGGGUAGGGAGUAGUUAGAAGGUAGACAUAGUCGCCUAAAACGGAAAAUAAAGCCCACUAAAUGAUACAUCGCAGCGAGUAACUAACGGUAAUAUUCUCACUAAACCCAAUUUUUUUUUUUCUAUGCCAUUCAUUUAAAUAUUUCAUAUAAACUGAUUUGUAGAAGCAGUGUUGGUAUUGAGGGUGGUAGGAAGUGACGUAUACUUGCUUGUUGCUGGAACCCAAGAUGGCGGUAUAGGCAGGACGCGGGCACGGUAGGGGACCGGGACAGUCGCAUCUCGAUAGUAGUGACCUUGUUGAUCUUGUGCGUAGUGCUUGUGAAUCCUGAGAGACAAUGAACACCAGGGAAGACGAUGCACAGGUGACACGACCUCGCAUGCGCCGAGAUUUGGGCACCCAUGCACCGACCAACCUGCAAGGAAGGAUGGAGAGCAGAUUGGACAGACUGUGGUGUCAUAGCAAAGAGUAACAACUGCUACACCACAGAGGAACAUGCACACUACUUCAGCAAAAGCCAGUGGGAAGGAGUGUCUGGGAACGAUGAUAUGGAGCCUUGUCCAAGGAUGACACGACACAUAUUGGCAGUCAGCUGGAUGCUCUGUGACGAUUCUUUGAGGAGUCCUCCAGAACCGGCAGAUAUUGAUCCUGGUUCUAACACUGUUGGGUCUAGUCACUCAGGUCUUCUGGAAACUGCAGUCUGAAGGAACUUAAAUCUGCCAUGACCACCUCAAUGCAAGCUUUUGACGGCAAGGACAGAAGUCCUCAGACUCUGACUGACCAUUGGAAUAAACUGCAUCACAAGGCAGCAUCUCAGGUGCUGGCUUUUACUGUUUGGCAAUGCAACAAGCUAGAUAGCAAUACUCCAAGUGUGUGUUUCCUCCAAGUACUUAGUCUGAAAUACCCACAUGUGAUCAGCUUUAAAAUACUGGACUGAAAAAUAUUACUUUGUGAAAAUAUGAAUUUCAUAUAAAAUUAUUGGUUAAAUGUAACUGAGUGCAGUUAAUGUCACCAAUAGUGUUGUAGAUGUGAUUCCUCUCAUAAACUCUGUAUCAUAACUUGUCCACAUUAUGUAUUCUUUAUGUUCUCUCCAUGUCUGACCUAUUUUUUUAUCAUUCCCAGAGGAGACCACCAAGGCAGAGAUAAUUUAUUCCUAUCCUUAUUUUGCCUCCUUGUAUUCACUAAUACUCUUUUCUCCACUCUGCUGUUCUCCUGCACAUCUCAGCACUACCCUCUCACUUCUCCACUCUGCUGUUCUCCUGCACAUCUCAGCACUACCCUCUCACACCCCUGGAACCUGUCCUCUUCCACCCAUCAUUGUCAUUCUUCUUUAUGUUCUCUUCUUGCCAUUCUUUUUGUGUCUAACCCACCUUGGCAUGAUGCUGUGCUUAACCCACUCAAAAAUCCCAUAUUUCAUCCUUGUAUCUUUACUUUGCAAUUCACAGACACAGCUAUAAUUACUUUUACCAUCACAUAUACUAUUUUGUAUGUACUACAUGUGUGCUUAAGCUGUUUUUAGUUACCCUACUUAAUUAUGAAAUUAAUAAUUUUUACCUAGAAAAGGGAAGAUCAUUUAAAAAAGUUGAUUUGUUGAAGUAACAUCAUUUAAAUGGUCUAGAUGCAUAUCUGCAACCAUUUAAAUCUUAUUGUGCACUAUGAUUGUUGGCCAAAUGAGAUGAGUCUUUCCAAGCGUCAGUUACUCUUCUGGUGCCCCCAGAUGGAUAGGUCUUCUCUGACAAGUAGAGGUACUUAAUUUUUUAUGAUAUAUUCUUUGUUGUGGCAAGGAUACUAAUUUCCUUUGUGAAGGCUACUUGAUUAUCAAAGAAGCCUCAUUCCUGCCAGAUCUUAACUCCCUUUGUCCUACAGUGUGCAGCUGUUGUAUUCUUGAUAAUUUGUGAGGAUUUAGUGAGUUCAGGAUAACUGUACAACAAUUUCAUAUCCAACACCAGGCAUGGACUUAACCUUUGCAUUCCAGCAGAUGCGUGCAGGAUGUCUCACAGUGAUCACUGUGCUCCCAUCUCAGUACACUCAAUCCUCUGCCAUUGCAGCUCAUUGCUCAUGUUACUGAUAUGAAUCCUAAUUAUGCACUAGCAUACCCCUAGAUUCUUUUUUUUUUUUUAUUCAAACAUUUUGGCACUAACAGUAUAUGAUGAUGCCUAAUACCAUGACACUCUUGCAGCAGAUAGGUUCUAAUGAUAUGAAAUGAGAUGAGGAAAAUGUAGAUGAUAAAAGAUCAUGAAACAAUACCUGACGUAAUGUGUGCACUUAAGGCUUUCAGCUGAAGUAAUUUUAGCACCAAUAAAUUUGACUUAGUUUGCAGUCACUGCAAUAUCAGUGAAACACAUGAUGCAUUCUGCAGCAGCAGAUGGUUGAGUGUAAGCUUUAGGCUCAAAGUAACUCAAGUUCUGCCAGAAUUUGGGCCACUCUGCCACCUAAAUUACUGUUACUCGGGCCUAAGAAUAGUGAUGAUUGUGACACGUCAGGCAUGUAUCAACUACAAGGUAAGGGUUAAGAGGCAAUACCUUCCUCCACUGUUUUAACAUGCAGUCUUGAAAACAUUGACCAUUUAAAAAAAAAGUAAGCAAAAAAGCUUUAGACAUUUUCAAAGUUGAUCAAAUUGAGUAUUUCAGAUACAACCUAUUACAUCCUAAAUAUAUUCCCCAGCAGACUACUGCACAUCAACCCAGUGAGAGAAGCACAAGGCCACUGUCCUACCUCUAGGUGAGGCUGGUGCUCCGGGCCGGCUCUCCCUCGGCCAGCGGCAUCAGUUUCUCCUCAAUGGACGAGACCGGGGACGAGUUGCCGGAGCGGUUGUUCUCCAUGGAGCAGUCGCUGACUUCCUCAGAGGAGUCAUUGUAGUCAACGGAAGCAGCCCUCUUAUUAACAAAGGACUCUUCCAGCCUGAUGAAACAAAGGUCUCCCGUCAGUUUUACAGAGUGCAUGAGUGAUGAAAAAAACAUAUCCUUCAUUUUAAAGGGCACAGUUAUUUACUUUCAUUCAGAGGAAGAGAGAUUUUCUACAUUAAUAUAGUCUUUGAUCAGACCAACAGCCAAAGAAGGCUGGCAAAGAUGUCAGGUGGGUGCCCACCUCAGAUGUGUUGUUAUCUUUUUGCUGUUGGUCUAAUAAAAGAUUGAUAUACAAAACUCCCUCUUGUUACAACCCACACAAACCAAGAGCACAAGCCAGUCCUGUAUACAAUAAUCUUAUAAAAAAGAGUUUUCAAGUUGGUGUAUCAUCUUCAGAACAUUCUGUAGAGACAGUCCUGGCAUGGCAGAGGAAGUUUUAUGAGGAAGAUAAUCAUUAGACAUUACAAGACAAAAUGCAACUUACGGCACUCCCUUGACUCUCAUAGCACCUGUGAGAGCCAUCUGCUUCACAUGUUGCAUCAAUAACUGCAUCUGCUCUAAUGACACUCUCAGAACACCUGUGGAGAAGAAAUAUGGAAGUUACCUGUCUGUUGAGUGGAUCAUGAAAACAAUCUAGAAAGAUAAUGCCUGUGGAACAUAACAUUGAAAUAACUGGGAGAGGACAACAGCAGAGGACUCACUGUCUGUAAUAUCUCCAAGUCUUUUGGCGACCAUGUAGAGCACCUCAGGGCACCAGAAGUGGGGGAUGCGGGGGUACAACUUUCCAGUGUCUGAGGGCAGGUGGAAACCUAGCUCGGCCAGCAGCUGACGGAAGGUGGGUGAGGAGAACGCCUCCUCCUGCUCACUGGUCCAAGGAAUGAGUGGGAUGGACUGGUUGGACACUGGUGGAAUGGAAGUGUGUGUUACUAUUGUACAAAGGAAGCAUUUGUUGCUAUGUGUGUGAGAAUGGACCACAUGUUACAGUGUGAGGGAAGGAAGCAUUUGUUAUUACGUGUGCAUUUUUUCAUGCCUUUAGUCUCAGUACUGCCACACCUAUACAUCACUAAACAUUAAAACUCUUUUAAUUUGAAAAGCCACAAAGUAAUUCAUGUAAAGGCAUCACCAAAUUUUAGUUCUUAGUAAGACAUUGAAGUCGGUAAUGCUCAGCUAAGCAAGUUUUGGCUGAUCCUUACUGUUCCUAUCACUACACAGCAAUUAUGGAUAAAUAUUACUGAAAUGUUCCUUUUUCUAAUCCCACAAUGAAGAGUUACUUACAUGUAAAAUGGAAGGCAACAGGCUCUGGUCUGGGGAGGUCAGUGCCCAUGAACCUGAUCUUGGCAUAGCAGGCCUCAAGAAUCUGCUUCUGAAGCCACACAACCUGACUCCCAUGGCCUUCCUCUCUCAGCUUGUC
Portunus trituberculatus (swimming crab) is the source of this 10055-nucleotide long non-coding RNA. RefSeq lists it as uncharacterized. The transcript has 9 exons. The record is from RefSeq and is a predicted model, not a curated record. Lineage: Eukaryota; Metazoa; Arthropoda; Malacostraca; Decapoda; Portunidae.